UGUGCCAGCAGCCGCGGUAAUACGUAGGUGGCAAGCGUUGUCCGGAUUUACUGGGCGUAAAGGAUGCGUAGGCGGAUAUUUAAGUCAGAUGUGAAAUACCCGGGCUCAACUUGGGUGCUGCAUUUGAAACUGGAUAUCUAGAGUGCGGGAGAGGUAAGUGGAAUUCCUAGUGUAGCGGUGAAAUGCGUAGAGAUUAGGAAGAACACCAGUGGCGAAGGCGACUUACUGGACCGUAACUGACGCUGAGGCAUGAAAGCGUGGGGAGCAAACAGGAUUAGAUACCCCUGUAGUCC
This 293-nucleotide ribosomal RNA is filed under the name uncultured bacterium. RNAcentral's name for it is "partial 16S ribosomal RNA". It matches the Rfam family "Bacterial small subunit ribosomal RNA", at positions 504 to 796 of the family's 1533-position model. The record is from RNAcentral.